Nannospalax galili (Upper Galilee mountains blind mole rat) is the source of this 119-nucleotide ribosomal RNA. The record is from Ensembl. Lineage: Eukaryota; Metazoa; Chordata; Mammalia; Rodentia; Spalacidae.
GUCUAUGGCCAUAUCACCCUGAACGCACCAGAUCUCAUCGAAUCUCGGAAGCUAAGCAUGGUAGGGCCUGGUUAGUACUUGGAUGGGAUUCCGCUGGGGAAUACCGGGUGCUGUAGGCU